CUGCUGUUUUCUCCUGCGGGCCGCUGUACUGUCUUAUUAACAUCAGUCUUAUUGCUGAUUUCUCCUGUGGCAUUAUAAUUGACAUCAGUGUUGCUUCUUUCUGGUCUUAGCUUGCUUGGUUCUUCUGUCUUCACAGCCACAGUACUUAAGUGCUCUACCAUCUUAUUUUGUUUGAGGUGAACUCCAUUAUAUAGCUGCCGUACAAUCGAUCUCUAGUGGAGUAUCUGCUUCUUUCAAGAUCUCAUUGAGAUAAUAUGGAAGCAGAGAUCUUGUAAAUGGAAGUUGAGCUCUUCUUAUAUUUGUUGUUGCUGCCUUUUUGGCAUCACUACUCUUAUUGCUCUCUCCUGUGGGGCGCUGGACUGUUGGAUUAUAAUUGACAUCAGUCAUGCUGCUUCUUUCUGGUCUUAGCUUGCUUGCUUCUUCUGUCUUCAUAGGCCUCUCAUGACUAUCUUUUGUAUUCUUAAUUGAGUGCCUUGCACCCAUCUUAAAGAUUAUUGAACAAUUUUCUGCAA
Molecule: long non-coding RNA, 512 nt
Organism: Lycium barbarum (goji berry)
Lineage: Eukaryota; Viridiplantae; Streptophyta; Magnoliopsida; Solanales; Solanaceae
Exons: 2
Source: RefSeq, a predicted model, not a curated record